Molecule: ribosomal RNA, 215 nt
Filed under: uncultured bacterium
Lineage: Bacteria
Description: partial 16S ribosomal RNA
Rfam family: Bacterial small subunit ribosomal RNA
Source: RNAcentral
UACGUAGGGUGCGAGCGUUGUCCGGAAUUAUUGGGCGUAAAGAGCUUGUAGGCGGUUUGUCGCGUCUGCUGUGAAAAUCCGAGGCUCAACCUCGGACUUGCAGUGGGUACGGGCAGACUAGAGUGUGGUAGGGGAGACUGGAAUUCCUGGUGUAGCGGUGGAAUGCGCAGAUAUCAGGAGGAACACCGAUGGCGAAGGCAGGUCUCCUGGGCCAU